GCUUCACUGCAGGCUGGCAUUGGGUUCGGGCUUUUCUUGCGCAGUCUAGGUGGGAGGCUUUGAAGGUUUCCUUCCGGGGAAGCUGGAGCCAUCAGUGAGAGACCACUCUGGAAAGGCUAGAAUCCUAAUGGUGAUCCUUGAAUCAGGACACUUGACAUUGUCAGCUAGACAGUUUUUCUGGGGCGGAAGGCUCCUAAAAGGUAACGGAGCUGUGCAAAGGUUCCCUCAGUCUGGACGGAAAUCAGACGUGGAGUGUAAAGGCAAAAGGGAGCUUGACUGCAAGACCUACAAGUCGAGCAGGAGCGACGGGCCCUU
RNAcentral lists this ribosomal RNA (315 nucleotides) under uncultured alga. RNAcentral describes it as "bacterial LSU rRNA". It matches the Rfam family "Bacterial large subunit ribosomal RNA", at positions 2098 to 2414 of the family's 2925-position model. The record is from RNAcentral.